Molecule: ribosomal RNA, 484 nt
Filed under: uncultured bacterium
Lineage: Bacteria
Description: partial 16S ribosomal RNA
Rfam family: Bacterial small subunit ribosomal RNA
Source: RNAcentral
AUUGAACGCUGGCGGCAUGCUUUACACAUGCAAGUCGAACGGCAGCGCGGGCUUCUGCCUGGCUGCGAGUGGCGAACGGGUGAGUAAUGCAUCGGAACGUGCCCAGUAUUGGGGGAUAGCCCGGCGAAGGCCGGAUUAAUACCGCAUACGACCUGAUGGUGAAAGCGGGGGACCGAAAGGCCUCGCGCUAUUUGAGCGGCCGAUGUCGGAUUAGCUAGUUGGUUGGGUAAAGGCUUACCAAGGCGACGAUCCGUAGCUGGUCUGAGAGGACGACCGGCCACACUGGGACUGAGACACGGCCCAGACUCCUACGGGAGGCAGCAGUGGGGAAUUUUGGACAAUGGGGGCAAACCUGAUCCAGCCAUGCCGCGUGCGGGAAGAAGGCCUUCGGGUUGUAAACCGCUUUUGUUCGGGAAGAAAUCCUCUGGGCUAAUACCCCGGGGGGAUGACGGUACCGGAAGAAUAAGCACCGGCUAACUACGUG